GGCAAGGUGGCCGAGCGGUCCAAGGCGCCACGUUAGGGAUCUUGCCUUAAUUCACACUUGGGUAGUACUCGAGAGAGAAACCCAGAGUUCCGUGGUCUUGAAAGGGGCGUGAGUUUGAAUCUCACCCUUGUCA
Non-coding RNA from Apiosordaria backusii, 133 nucleotides. The record is from the annotation of a GenBank genome assembly. NCBI's taxonomy places the organism in Eukaryota, Fungi, Ascomycota, Sordariomycetes, Sordariales, Lasiosphaeriaceae.